AGGACGAACGCUGGCGGCGUGCUUAACACAUGCAAGUCGAGCGGAAAGGCCCUUCGGGGUACUCGAGCGGCGAACGGGUGAGUAACACGUGAGUAAUCUGCCCCUAGCUCUGGGAUAGCUCCGGGAAACCGGGAUUAAUACCAGAUACGACCACUUUAGACAUCUGUUGUGGUGGAAAGAAUUUCGGCUAGGGAUGAGCUCGCGGCCUAUCAGCUUGUUGGUGAGGUAACGGCUCACCAAGGCGACGACGGGUAGCCGGCCUGAGAGGGCGACCGGCCACACUGGGACUGAGACACGGCCCAGACUCCUACGGGAGGCAGCAGUGGGGAAUAUUGCGCAAUGGGCGAAAGCCUGACGCAGCGACGCCGCGUGGGGGAUGAAGGCCUCGGGUUGUAACCCUUUCAGCAGGGACGAAGCGAAAGUGACGGUACCUGCAGAAGAAGCGCCGGCUAACUACGCGCCAGCAGCCGC
This 471-nucleotide ribosomal RNA is filed under the name uncultured bacterium. RNAcentral's name for it is "SSU rRNA". It matches the Rfam family "Bacterial small subunit ribosomal RNA", at positions 26 to 518 of the family's 1533-position model. The record is from RNAcentral.